UACGUUAUCAACAAAGCUGGACGAAGCCAUACUAUCGCAGUGGAACGACCUGUUCUUUGUAGCGAUUAUUAAGUGUUUACACUGCUUAAAGUCUUUUAAAGGCAAUAUGCCAGGUCCCAUAGUUCAGUGCGGGACUGCCACAACGGUACCCGUGGGCUAAAGAAGUGGAUGGAAGAGUUUUGCCCUAUUCACGAGUGCAAUAAAGGAACCUCGCGCUGUCUUAGUGACCCGCCUUAUGUACUCGUCACAUUUCCUACUGAAAGAAAAGAUCCAGAACGUCGUGCCGAAUGGAUUAAAUUAGGGAGGGCCCCCAGACAUCCAACACAAACCAAAUCUCACUCUAAGGUCUGGUCACAAGUUGGCAGCCCUGUGUUUCUACCAGCAGACACUGAAAGGACUCUGAUAGUUUGCUUCAGCUCCAGAGACGGCAGGUGGGACGAGUCAACGGAGGCCUGGUGGACGAAGGCAUGCAGCUGAGUACAAUCCAGAAAACAACAGAGGAGGAGUGCAGCAGCCCAGGACCAGAACAAACAGAGUAGCAUCACCAAAGAACAACAGACUCUUCACAACCUGCUCAAACUCUUGGUACAGGACCUCACCACACGGAUCAAGAAGGUUUCCGUCUCAUUUCUACUCUGAAGCUCACCUUCUCCUGCUCAAACUGCUGACAAAUGUUUCUGCUGCUCUAAAGUCUGGUCUCCAGAACUUCCUAAAAACUCUCAAAGGCUCUUCUGCUGCAGGUUGCUUUGUAGAACUGUUCCAGAAAACCUCACUAAACCACAUGGAGGGGCCUCAAGAUAGUCGUCCAAAUGAAACCAUACAAAAACCAAACUAGCACAACCCAAACGCUAAAGUCUCCUGCAGCCUACCAGAGAACCUCUGAGAACAGAGAAUCAGUACAGGAACUCUUACCUUCUGGACAACCAACGUUGGUUCACAAACAAGAAUACAGAAUGUGUCUGACCAAAAACUUCUAAAGACUCACUACAGGCAAGAUAAUGACACAACUCAGCUGUACCAAAUCCACUAAUCACUGCACACAUUAGCACCAUGUGCUAACUGUGGCUAAAGAACCACCUUUACCAAGACAACUAUCCAGUACAAAGUCCUAAAACACACCAAGAAACACAUUAAAGACAAUUUUACUGCUGGAAGCUGCAAGCCAACGCCUAAAGAACAAACUAAAGCAAUGGAGCUAAACCCGGUUCAAUGGUGCAGAGAAGCAGAGGAAAUGUCUGACUGCAGAAAAACAAAGCAGGAAGACACUGAGCUGCUCAGGUGUUCCUGAUAACACCAAGCAGCCACCUGGACAGCCAAUAGGAACACAGCUUACUGGAAGUCCAGAGGGCUGGGUUAGUGAAGGAAAUUUAGUUUAAAGUUGAGGCAGAAAGUUAACAAAGAAAGUUGAAAACCAACUUCUGAUACCUGAAAUCUCUGAGUUUUCACACAAAGAACACCUGAACAUGUCAAACUGGUUUCAUAGUAGAACCAUCAUUGUAAAAACGUCAUAGUAUGAUGUGUUGCUCAAAAAACAUUAGGACCCGGCUGUCUAGGGUCGCCGAGGAGCAACACAAAAACAGGACAAACGCUGGUUUCCAGGGGGUUAGGCAGCUAUUUAUUUGAAAGAGUAAGUUUACAACAACACAACAUGUGAGCAGAAAAAUCACAAAGUCUGUCUUUAGUUCAGCUGAAAAUAUUAGUUUUUGUCUUUUUUAUUGAUCAAACUUUUCAGGAAGUAGAUGAAGAAUAAUUAAAGCUCUCAUGUAGAAGUCCAACUUAUUUUGGAUCCUUGUGGAGAGUUUAAUCUUAGAGUUUGUACAGCUGUUGAGUUUUUAGAGUCACAUGGAUUGUUUUGACAUUUAAUAACUGAGUCCUGAAAUAAAAUUACAGUUAUGGAUUUCUGUCAUUUAGUCUGGACUAAACAAAUAACAGCAGCAUAAAUCUCAAACAUCAUUAUGAGGAGUCUGGAUUGAGGUUUCUCACUUGAUAAUGAUCAAAACAUGAAAUUUAGGUUGGUUUAAAGGAAUAUUC
Amphiprion ocellaris (clown anemonefish) is the source of this 2031-nucleotide long non-coding RNA. The record is from Ensembl. NCBI's taxonomy places the organism in Eukaryota, Metazoa, Chordata, Actinopteri, Pomacentridae.